Long non-coding RNA from Gopherus evgoodei (Goodes thornscrub tortoise), 207 nucleotides. RefSeq lists it as uncharacterized. NCBI's taxonomy places the organism in Eukaryota, Metazoa, Chordata, Testudines, Testudinidae. The transcript is spliced from 3 exons. The record is from RefSeq and is a predicted model, not a curated record.
AGCAGAACCAGCCCAGUGACACCAGUCCACGCAGCAUGGCCGUGCAGGCCCUGGCACGGGUGCUGCGCCUCAGGGGCAGUCAGCCAGCUGUGGAACUAAUGGACCAGGAGCAAGGCUGGCAGCUGCUGGAGGAGGCCCAGCCCGAGGGGUUCACUCUUCUUAGCAGAGCCAUAGUGAGCCACCCAAACAUGGCCCUGAAAAGCAUCC